GUGACUGAUGGUCGAGAGGCAAGGACACUUGACUCUCAUCCAAAAGUCCCGGGUUAGAAUCCCGGCCGUAGCACU
Molecule: transfer RNA, 75 nt
Filed under: Rhamnusium bicolor
Lineage: Eukaryota; Metazoa; Arthropoda; Insecta; Coleoptera; Cerambycidae
Description: tRNA-OTHER
Source: RNAcentral